GCGAAGGUGGCGGAAUUGGCAGACGCACUAGACUUAGGAUCUAGCGGGCGACCGUGGGGGUUCGAGUCCCCCCCCUCGCACCA
This 83-nucleotide transfer RNA is filed under the name bacterium. RNAcentral describes it as "tRNA-Leu". It matches the Rfam family "tRNA". From Rfam's summary of the family: Transfer RNA (tRNA) molecules are approximately 80 nucleotides in length. The record is from RNAcentral.